Molecule: long non-coding RNA, 2452 nt
Organism: Dioscorea cayenensis subsp. rotundata (Guinea yam)
Lineage: Eukaryota; Viridiplantae; Streptophyta; Magnoliopsida; Dioscoreales; Dioscoreaceae
Exons: 3
Source: RefSeq, a predicted model, not a curated record
UUUAUAUAUUUUAUAUGUUUUUCAUUCUUUUAUAAAUUUGAAUGACAAAUAUUCUUGGAUAUGUGGAGACUCAUCACUUGUAUCUGUUCUUAGUAACAUUCAAUGAGUUUCCAGUUGUGGAAAUAUUUGUAAAAUUUUUUGUAUCAAGUUUAGGCACGGCCUUGUUUUACUACUGCAAUUGAUUUUUUGCUGAUUAUAUGUUCAGGGUAGUUGGUGUGUAUUAUGAAGGAUUAGUUUGUUGAUGUCAUGUCUUAGUCAGGUUUUAUUUCUACUCAAGGUUAUCUGGCAAUUCAGUUUGUCUGUCUGGAGAGAUUAAAUAUUGACGGUGGCCAAUUGCUGCUGCUUGAAUGAGUUUGGAGUCGAGUUCUUCUGUUAAUACUUUUUUUUAUUAUUAUAAUUUUUUUUUUUAUUUUAUGUCUUGCUUCUUGAUGGGUGUAGUUUGAUUGUGUUUACCGUAUUUGGUUUUGUAAGUAGUCUUUUGAUCCAUGUGCUUAAUUAAUUAAUAAUGUUUAGGAAGGUGUGAUGCUUUGGUUUUCCACAAUAAAUGGCGUGGUUGCUAUGUGGUUUUUCAGGGAUUGACUUUGUGGCUUGACACAUUCAAGUCGGACAAGCAAUGGUGUUUCUAGUGGCAGACGAGUAGUAACUAUUGAAGGAUGUUCACUUUGAUAGUAUUUUUUAUAUUUUUCUUGAUCAAUGCACGUUUUUGGUCUAGUAUGCUUAAUUGAUUAAUUUCCUCCAGGUAGGGUACAUUGGUAGUGUGGAUUCUAGUGACUUCCAUUUGGUGUUCAGAAGAUCUGAUUGAGGAUUUGAGCCCUUCAAAAGGAGGUUUUUGAAUCACGUCACUUCAUAGUUGAAAUCGUUCUGAUUACUGUUUGAUUUAUUGCUUCAAUUGAAUAUGUCGGGUGCUUGGAUUGCUGAUGUGAAGGUCGCUGGUGAAAUUAUUUCAUUACCAUCUUUUGUUUUAUUUUUAUUUCUGUUUGUAUUUCUGAAAUUUAGGUUUUCUUUUUUGAGGUAGCGCAUUUGUUUUGGGUACAAAAUGUCACAGGAUCAAAUCCUGUCAUCCCUACCUUUUACUACUACUAUUCUAUGGAAAGUUAGGAGGGAGUAAUUUAAAUCGAUUAAAAUUUGAUUUUGAAACUUCUUUUGUAUGUCAUUGCUUUAGGGAUGAUUUUAGAUGGAAUAAAGGCCUUCGCUGCAAACUACAUCAAUGAUUGUGUAAUUGGUCUAGAUUUAAUGAUGAUAUGUUUUUUUUUUCUCAGUUGAUGAUGAUUUUAGCAGCAUUUAAUUGUUAUUCUUAUUAUUAUCUUGUCAUAGCUUUUAGUUUAUUCUUAGGAUUUUUUCUAUUGCUAAUGGAGAUGGCGUAAACUAGCAGUUUCCUUUUGGUCAAUGUGGGAGCUCUGUGAUUCUUAUGUGAUGGAAAUUUGAGAGCAAAGGUUCUAGGAGCAUUGUGGUAUUUGUGUUCAAUGAUCUUUGCAUUUUUUUGAUAAUUUUGUUUGUACUUUGAAUUGAGAGAGAUAACUUGAUGCUUCUUCCUUCUGGUCACUGUGUUUACUUUCUUGGGGCUUAAUAGAACUGUGCGGAUAGUAAAAGGUGGGAAUUCCUUUGGUUUUAUGCCAUCAUAAAAGAUUGAAGUUUAUUAGUGUUUUCCCUUGAACUGAUGGCGCUGAAGAUCUGUUGUUGUUUCACUUAAGGUCAUUACUUUUAAGUUGUGUGUUUUGUUUGGUCCUCAUUUUAUGUGGUCAUAAGUCUCAUUGAAUGAUUGUUAUAAGUUGGUGGUUGUUUUGGCUUCAGAUCUCCACAGUUUCAUGCAAACGUAAGCUUUUGUUGUUUUAAGGAAUUGCUGCUCUAUUAAGCUUCUAAUGGUGCAAUGAAAUGGAGGUAUUCGAAAUUCCAAGAUAUGGUGCAAUAUUUGGAAGCUUCCGUGUAGCAUGGAUUCAAGAGACUUACAUUUGUUGGUGGAUGGACUUGAUCAAUUUUCUUGGAAGGGGGUUUCUUGAUCACUUUGAAAAUUAACUAGAUCUGAUUUCUAUUUGAUAUAGUGCCCUUUUUUAGAAGUUGUGAACAUGCUUGUGUUUAAUUUUCUUUGCAGGAUAAAUUGUCAAUUGGCUAUAUUUCGGACAAUUGAAAUUCAUCUUGUGCUUGGUUGUCUGGAGGGGUUUCGCAUCAUGAUUAAAAAUAUGAUCACCCUGGAUGCCAACUCCUAUAUCUCGUUAAUCAAUUGCAAUUGCAAGUGUUAAUGAGUCAGAAUUUCAACAUGAAGAACAUGAGAAGAAAAUGAAGUAGAAGUGGAACAUGCCAUUAACUUUGAAGCAUUGAAUGCUCAGACUUUUAGGUGUUUGGUUUAUGAUAUUUAAAAAUUUUAUGGAUGAUUUAUGGAUUUGUAAUGUUCAUGAACUAAUUAAGAUGUUCUUUCAAGUAUUUUUUGAUAGAUUACAAAAUUUGUCAUGUGUUU